AUCCUUUUGUAGUUCAUAAGCAUGAUGACUGGGUUUUCACAUGCAUGUGUGAGAAGUGCCUCCCUCAGUCCUUGUUAUGAUGUUGGUACGUUACCUGUCUGACA
This is a small nucleolar RNA of Lemur catta (Ring-tailed lemur), 104 nucleotides long. RefSeq annotates it as small nucleolar RNA U13. The record is from RefSeq and is a predicted model, not a curated record. The transcript has a single exon. NCBI's taxonomy places the organism in Eukaryota, Metazoa, Chordata, Mammalia, Primates, Lemuridae.